Molecule: small nucleolar RNA, 51 nt
Filed under: Pyrobaculum neutrophilum V24Sta
Lineage: Archaea; Thermoproteati; Thermoproteota; Thermoprotei; Thermoproteales; Thermoproteaceae
Description: PNEsR105
Source: RNAcentral
GUGAGGUCGCACGGGGACGGGCUGAACAUGAUGUAAAUUCCGCGCGUCUGA